This 186-nucleotide long non-coding RNA is filed under the name dengue virus type 2. RNAcentral's name for it is "Dengue virus type 2 partial sfRNA3". The stretch from base 93 to 164 matches the Rfam family "Flavivirus DB element". Lineage: Riboviria; Orthornavirae; Kitrinoviricota; Flasuviricetes; Amarillovirales; Flaviviridae. The record is from RNAcentral.
AUCUGGGAGGCCACAAACCAUGGAAGCUGUACGCAUGGCGUAGUGGACUAGCGGUUAGAGGAGACCCCUCCCUUGCAAGUCGCAGCAACAAUGGGGGCCCAAGGUGAGAUGAAGCUGUAAUCUCACUGGAAGGACUAGAGGUUAGAGGAGACCCCCCCGAAAUAAAAAACAGCAUAUUGACGCUGG